AAAAAAAAAAAAAAAAAAAACACAGAAGUUAUCACACCUCAAACAAAUGCAAGUUAAAAGAGGAAUCUCAGCUUGUAGCACACAUAGGGAAAGAACUCACCCAAAAGUAGGUUAUUGGCCCUAGAAAAAUGAAACCAGACUUCUCUUCCAGAAGUUACAACCCUCCAAUUUCCACCAUGGCAAUAAUUUUUUUUUAAUAACGAUUUUUAUUUUUUCCAUUAUAGCUGAUUUACAGUGUUCUGUCACUUUUCUGCUGCCCAGCAAGGUGACCCAGUCACACAUACAUGUAUACAUUCUCUUUUCUCACAUUAUCAUGCUCCGUCAUAAGUGACCAGACAUGAGAGGAACUCCAUAUCUUUUCUAAUCUGUAGCCAAAAUACCUGUGCUAGGUAAAAUCUCAAUGAAUGUUUGCAAAAAAUAAACAUUUGCAAAUAAAUGCAAUAACAUUUAUCUAUUUAUUUGUUUAGUCCUUUUAGGCCUCACCUGCAGCAUAUGGAAGUUCCCAGGUUAGGGGUCGAAUCAGAGCUGUAGCUGCCAGCCUACACCAUAGCCACAGAAACUCCAUAUCCAAGCCCCAUCUGCGACCUGCACCACAGCUCACAGCCAUGCCAGAUCCUUAACCCACUGUGUGAGUCCAGGGAUCAAAUCUGUAUCCUCAUGGAUAUUAGUUGGGUUCCUUACUGCUGAGCCACAAUGAGAACUCCAUAAGUGUAAUGAUAUUUAAGCAAAUGUUAAAACGCAUUUUGUACUGAAAAUGUCUUCCUAGAAAAGCAGCCACAAAAAUAGUAUUAUGUGGAGUUUUGUGUGGCACAGCAGUUAAGGAUUUGGCUUUGUCACUGCAAUGGCUUGGGUCAUGGCUGUAGCAUGGGUUCGAUCCCUGGCCCAGGAAAUUUACACCUGCUGUGAGACUGGCCAAAAAUUCAGUAUUAUCACACUCAGUGCAUCCAUCAAAUUGUACAUAUUCUUCCUUAUUGAUAUUCAAGUGAUCACAGGCUCAAUUUUUCUCUCCCUGUUUCCCCACUUUGAAAAAAUAUAUAUAAUAAAAUAAUGACACCUACCUUAUAGGGUUGGGUAGAGAAUUAAGAGUUAUUAUACAUAAAGCACUUAAAAAAAUCCAAGUAUGCAGUUCUUUCAACAUUACCUGCUUAUUUUAGUAGUAGUAGUAAGAGUAGAACUAAUAAUAGCAGUCAAAAGCAUCUUUAGAUGUCCCCACAUUUCCCAGUUUAGAGUAUAAAUAAUACCAAUAUUAACAAAUAUACUGUCUAGAAUCUUCAUCAUAAAAGACAGACAUAAGCUGUUCAUUUGUUUAUUCAUUCUAGAAACAGUAAGCAGGUUUGUCCUUCUUCUGGGAAGAUAUAUUAGACAUGAGCAUAUUGGCAAAGUUGUCUCUGCUCUCCAUGAGUGUACAUCCCAGGAUGGGAAACAAAUUAAAAGCAAAUAAUUUCAAAGCAAUUCUAUCCAAGACAGAGGUAAGACCUAGGACUAACUCAGUAGCAAAUAGCUAAAAGCUGUUGUAAAGGGGAGUUUGUACCUCCACUCCAUUUUAUGCCCCCAGCAGCCCUGCAGGGUUGGUUUUAUUCUCCCCAUUUUGCACAUAAAGACAUUUGGGGAGAAUGGUCACUAACCUAGAGUUGGACUGCCAGGGUGUGUUAAGGCGGAAUUAACCAUAGGUCUCCAGAGACCUGAUUCCACGGUUUUCCAAAACCUCAGCCAUGCUUCCCUGGAUCAGGAGGCUGAGAGUAUUGGCUGGGGCACUGCAUACUCCGUGGUGUGGCUGCCCAAACCAUCCCUCGUCUGGACACCACAAAUGGAGCAGAAAGAAAAAUGGAGAGAAGCCAUUUCAUUUUAGGACUCUUGACUGCAGUCUGUUCAGUCUGGCCUGGUUUCUUCUUGGUGCUUAUGUCCAUGCUAAUCGCUGUGGCUAAAUGGUGUCAUCGUAAAUAAUGAUGCUGCGGUGAAACGUUUAAUCUUCCCUGGGGCUGGUGGACCUCUUCAGCUGUUGGUCUAGUGAUAAGCUGAGCAAGGGGAGUGUAGCGUCUGGUUUUCGUGAAACCACUUGUGGACAAUAUUAAUGAAUGACUGAUAUUUAAAUAAAAGUGAUUUGAGUUGGAAUGACAAAAAAUGUAAACAAUAUGGAUUCUGCUUUUCACCAAGUUAUUUUUUUUUUCUCUUCCUCUUGGGUUUUAAAAAUUGAGGGACCAUCAAAAGGCCAUCUUCUCCUUUUCUCAUCUGUUGACUGAAAAAAAUUCUGAAUAGUCCUCAUCAGCACUCCCUCCUGGUGCCCUACCUCUAAAGCCUGGAAGAGAUCUACAAACAUAAAUAGUGGCUCUUUGCCCCUAUUCCUCUAUUUGUUUGGCAUCGAUGAAACCGCUCUGUCUUCCAGUUUGGAAAGUUUAUUAUUUAAAACUCCAUUCACACAUCUCUUGGGCCAGAGUGUGUUAAUUUCUUAUACAAUUCUAAAUAGAUGACUUGGAACUGUUAUUUCACUGUCUACCAGGAGUGUUUCAUGAAGUCUGGAAGCCUACCUUCACCUUCCUCUAAUCACCUUUUGCCUAAAUUAUUAUCCCUAACCAUUUCUCAAUGUUUUAUUAGGACCAUUUUCAAACAUACAAUAAUGUAAAAUGUAUGCAGCAAAUACCUAAACUUUUGGGGGUGUCGAUACCCAUUUAAUGUCUAACUUUGGUAAUCCAGCCAGCCUUUUAAUUUUUUCACUCAUCCCAUCUCUCUCUCUCUCUCUCAGUCACACACACACACACACACACACACACACACACACACACACACACACACACACACAGAUACUCAUCAGAGAAUUAACAAAUGGACAAGAAAGGAGUUCCCAUCGUGGAUCAGUGGUUAGUGAACCUGACUAGUGUCCAUGAGUACAGGGGUUCGAUCCCUGACCUCACUCAGUGGGUUAGGGAUCUGGCAUUGCAAUGAGCUGUGGUGUAGGUCACUGAUGCAGCUCGGAUCCUGCAUUGCUGUGGCUGUGGUAAAGGCUGGCAGCUAUAGCUCCAGUUCAACCCCUAGUCUGGAAACCUCCAUAUGCCUCGGGUGCAGCCC
This 3063-nucleotide long non-coding RNA is filed under the name Sus scrofa (pig). Its description in RNAcentral is "lncRNA (ENSSSCG00025064628.1)". The record is from RNAcentral. Lineage: Eukaryota; Metazoa; Chordata; Mammalia; Artiodactyla; Suidae.